AACGAACGCUGGCGGCAUGCCUAACACAUGCAAGUCGAACGAUUGCCUUCGGGUGAUAGUGGCGCACGGGUGCGUAACGCGUGGGAAUCUGCCCUUAGGUUCGGAAUAACAGCUGGAAACGGCUGCUAAUACCGGAUGAUAUCGCGAGAUCAAAGAUUUAUCGCCUGAGGAUGAGCCCGCGUUGGAUUAGGUAGUUGGUGGGGUAAAGGCCUACCAAGCCGACGAUCCAUAGCUGGUCUGAGAGGAUGAUCAGCCACACUGGGACUGAGACACGGCCCAGAAUCCUACGGGAGGCAGCAGUGGGGGAUAUUGGACAAUGGGGGCAAGGCUUAUCCCGCAAUGCCGCGUGAGGGAUGAAGGCCCUAGGGUUGUAAAGCUCUUUUACCCGGGAAGAUAAUGACUGUACCGGGAGAAUAAGCCCCGGCUAACUCCGUG
This 435-nucleotide ribosomal RNA is filed under the name uncultured bacterium. RNAcentral's name for it is "partial 16S ribosomal RNA". It matches the Rfam family "Bacterial small subunit ribosomal RNA", at positions 29 to 507 of the family's 1533-position model. The record is from RNAcentral.